CACGUCUUCAGUUCAGUUGUGCAGCCAUUUUAACCUGUGACAAGUGCUAAGUUCUUUCGAGUUUUUUUUUGUGCCGUGAAUAUCGGUGCUAUAUCGACAAGAUUACUUCAAAGACUGUGUUGUGUUAAAAGUGAACGGAAAGGCUCUAGCACCUUGAAGAUGGUCUCCGUCUAGAGGAAAUUCGGCUGGUUCACAAAUAAUUAUUGGCUCGUCUGCCAAGAUCUCUUGUGGUAUGUUGGGAAAGACGAUGACGUGAGCUCCAUCAACAGAUAUGGAAAGACUACGAAGAAAAAGAUGAGGGACGAAGAUAUCUCCUAACUUCCAGAUAUAUUUCGGGGAGAAACAAAGCAGUGAUAAUGAUGUAGUGGAAUUGACAUCUGUUAAAACUGAGGAGACUGCUUACUUGAGGACUUAUAGAAUGGAAAGCAGACUAUCAGAGCUACUUAGGUUUAUCAGAGAGGAGACAACUAAAGCAUCAGCAUGUUGGAGGAUAUAGAGA
This is a long non-coding RNA of Macrobrachium nipponense, 499 nucleotides long. RefSeq lists it as uncharacterized. The record is from RefSeq and is a predicted model, not a curated record. NCBI's taxonomy places the organism in Eukaryota, Metazoa, Arthropoda, Malacostraca, Decapoda, Palaemonidae. The transcript has 3 exons.